This is a long non-coding RNA of Hemiscyllium ocellatum (epaulette shark), 341 nucleotides long. RefSeq lists it as uncharacterized. NCBI's taxonomy places the organism in Eukaryota, Metazoa, Chordata, Chondrichthyes, Orectolobiformes, Hemiscylliidae. The record is from RefSeq and is a predicted model, not a curated record. The transcript has 4 exons.
UAGUCCGAAUAACAGCUGAUUCAGAUCCAUUUUUUCUUUAUAAGUUAAUAGUUACAGAAGACGAUUUUCAGAGCUUAAAACAUCAGCAGAGGCUCUUAAUAGAUUUUUCUGCGUUCCCACAAAAGUUUAUAGAUCUUCUACAGCAGUGCAUCCAAGAGGAGAACAAAGAUAUUCCAAGAAUGAAAAGUUGCUGUUAGAAGAGUAGCUUAAAAAAACCAAAUUUGACCUGAACAAGCAAUCAACAGACAACCAAAAGGUAUCAAAAUUGCAAGAACAAUUAAAAGGAUCAAUGGAGAAAUUAGAGGAAAGCAAUCAGCUUAUUAAAACUAAUGAAAAUGGUA